GGGGAGUUAGCUCAGUUGGUAGAGCGUUGCGAUCGCACCGCAAAGGUCAGGGAUUCGAAUUCCCUACUCUCCA
Synechococcus sp. PCC 6312 is the source of this 73-nucleotide transfer RNA. It matches the Rfam family "tRNA". From Rfam's summary of the family: Transfer RNA (tRNA) molecules are approximately 80 nucleotides in length. Their secondary structure includes four short double-helical elements and three loops (D, anti-codon, and T loops). The record is from Rfam. NCBI's taxonomy places the organism in Bacteria, Bacillati, Cyanobacteriota, Cyanophyceae, Synechococcales, Synechococcaceae.